This 19-nucleotide non-coding RNA is filed under the name Arabidopsis thaliana (thale cress). The record is from RNAcentral. Lineage: Eukaryota; Viridiplantae; Streptophyta; Magnoliopsida; Brassicales; Brassicaceae.
ACAGGGACAGUCGGGGGCA